This 366-nucleotide small RNA is filed under the name Vigna angularis var. angularis. RNAcentral describes it as "Non-protein coding transcript". The record is from RNAcentral. Lineage: Eukaryota; Viridiplantae; Streptophyta; Magnoliopsida; Fabales; Fabaceae.
UCAAUCGAAGCAAGGAUUUAGAUAUGAAAUGGAUUGAAGAAUUACAGAUAUGAUUUGGCAGGUAAGAAAAGAAAAUCACAAAGUCUGUGAUUUCUAAGUGAUUUAUUUCUGGGAAUAUUUUUACCUUCAUGUAAAGCCAUCUGGGGGACUCUGGGAGAAAGGCCAUGAGGACAAACUGAAGAACUGCUGGCAAACUUGCAACUCCAAGCAUCCAACGCCAUGUUCCAGGAACCUGGAUAAUUUAAAAUAAGAAAUUCACAAACAGUUUAAUCAUAAACAUUUGUAAUUGGGCAAGCACUGAGGUAGAAUGAAGUACUCUGAUGGUGAUACUUCUGCAAUAUAGACAGGAGCAGUGACAGAGGCAGC